AACGAACGCUGGUGGCAUGCCUAACACAUGCAAGUCGAACGAGACCUUCGGGUCUAGUGGCGCACGGGUGCGUAACGCGUGGGAACCUGCCCUUAGGUUCGGAAUAACUCCCCGAAAGGGGUGCUAAUACCGGAUAAUGUCUUCGGACCAAAGAUUUAUCGCCUUUGGAUGGGCCCGCGUUGGAUUAGCUAGUUGGUAGGGUAAAAGCCUACCAAGGCGACGAUCCAUAGCUGGUCUGAGAGGAUGAUCAGCCACACUGGGACUGAGACACGGCCCAGACUCCUACGGGAGGCAGCAGUGGGGAAUAUUGGACAAUGGGCGAAAGCAUGAUCCAGCAAUGCCGCGUGAGUGAUGAAGGCCUUAGGGUUGUAAAGCUCUUUUACCCGGGAUGAUAAUGACAGUACCGGGAGAAUAAGCUCCGGCUAACUCCGUG
RNAcentral lists this ribosomal RNA (433 nucleotides) under uncultured bacterium. RNAcentral describes it as "partial 16S ribosomal RNA". It matches the Rfam family "Bacterial small subunit ribosomal RNA", at positions 29 to 507 of the family's 1533-position model. The record is from RNAcentral.